AUGGUGGACUGUCUCUAUGCCGUGUGCAUUCCUUGCCAAUCAGACACCUUUCAAGUCAAGUCAGAAAAAACAAAGAUGUUCAUCACGAGGCCAGCUGGGUCAUCCAUCACCAUCACUGGUGACAUUCUGGAUCAAAAUGUUGACUACAUCCACUGGUACAAAUUCCAGGGUGAGAAGGUCCCACAACAUCUCCUCUACUACAAAUUCUUCAGCUACCAGACUGUGAUGAAUCCAAAUACCAAAGCAGACAAGUACCAAGCUCAUACAGAUACUUCAGUUUUUACUAAGAUUAGUAAACUUCUCAAUCUUGAAGAAUCCAUCUUAGAGCAGUACAGUCUAGUGUUUCUCAAAGUGUGGUUCUAG
Molecule: non-coding RNA, 363 nt
Organism: Sorex araneus (European shrew)
Lineage: Eukaryota; Metazoa; Chordata; Mammalia; Eulipotyphla; Soricidae
Source: the annotation of a RefSeq genome assembly